Molecule: ribosomal RNA, 389 nt
Filed under: uncultured bacterium
Lineage: Bacteria
Description: bacterial SSU rRNA
Rfam family: Bacterial small subunit ribosomal RNA
Source: RNAcentral
AGCGAACGUUUGCGGCGGGCCUAACACAUGCAAGUCGAACGGGCAGUCCCUUCGGGGGCUGUCAGUGGCGCACGGGUGCGUAACACGUAGGUAAUCAACCCUCGGGUUCGGGAUAACACUUCGAAAGGGGUGCUAAUACCGGAUGCGACGAGCGUCUCCUCGGAGAUGCACGGGAAAGAUCCGCAAGGGUCGCCCGAGGACGAGCCUGCGGCCCAUCAGCUUGUUGGUGAGGUAAUGGCUCACCAAGGCUAAGACGGGUAGCUGGUCUGAGAGGAUGAUCAGUCACACUGGAACUGAGACACGGUCCAGACUCCUACGGGAGGCAGCAGUGGGGAAUAUUGCGCAAUGGGCGAAAGCCUGACGCAGCCACGCCGCGUGAGCGAUGAAGG